RNAcentral lists this ribosomal RNA (474 nucleotides) under Triticum aestivum (bread wheat). RNAcentral's name for it is "partial small subunit ribosomal RNA". The record is from RNAcentral. Lineage: Eukaryota; Viridiplantae; Streptophyta; Magnoliopsida; Poales; Poaceae.
AUGAGCGCCAGCGCCAGCCGCCCAGAGCUCCGCAUCCGCCAGCUCCUCACAGACGAGCGAGCCCGCCUGCCCGAUCCCCCGAAAUGCGUUGGAGGUAUUCUCUUUUCCAAUGACCUAAUCCUCGCCUUCACGCCAUGGCACCGCGACACCUACUACUGCCGCAUUGGGGAUGCUCAGUGGCAAGCGGCGCGGUGCGAUGAGGGCUACAACAUUCACAGUCUGAUGUUCGUGAAAGGCACCCUCUACGCGUUGAUUUAUCCAAAUUAUCGUCUUGCUGUUGUCGAGCUUGACAACAAUUCCGUGGUAUUGUCGUUUCUUGGGGAUGAACUUAGCGCACAUACAGUACCAGAUGGUAAUUUGGCGGCCUGGCUCGCAGAGUGUCAUGGUGAGCUAUUGCUAAUUAUCAGAAGGAGGCUGUACGUACCGUGUGUUCCAGUGGCAAUCCAAGGAGAGGAAGUGGGCGAGGACACAUAG